Molecule: ribosomal RNA, 491 nt
Filed under: uncultured bacterium
Lineage: Bacteria
Description: partial 16S ribosomal RNA
Rfam family: Bacterial small subunit ribosomal RNA
Source: RNAcentral
AGUGAACGCUGGCGGUAGGCCUAACACAUGCAAGUCGAACGGCAGCACAGUAAGAGCUUGCUCUUACGGGUGGCGAGUGGCGGACGGGUGAGGAAUACAUCGGAAUCUACUUUUUCGUGGGGGAUAACGUAGUGAAACUUACGCUAAUACCGCAUACGACCUACGGGUGAAAGCAUGGGAUCUUCGGACCUUGCGCGAUUGAAUGAGCCGAUGUCGGAUUAUCUAGCUGGCGGGGUAAAGGCCCACCAAGGCGACGAUCCGUAGCUGGUCUGAGAGGAUGAUCAGCCACACUGGAACUGAGACACGGUCCAGACUCCUACGGGAGGCAGCAGUGGGGAAUAUUGGACAAUGGGCGCAAGCCUGAUACAGCCAUACCGCGUGGGUGAAGAAGGCCUUCGGGUUGUAAAGACCUUUUGUGGGGAAAGAAAAGCAGCAGGUUAAUACCCCGCUGUUCUGACGGUACCCAAAGAAUAAGCACCGGCUAACUUCGU